AUUGAACGCUGGCGGCAUGCCUUACACAUGCAAGUCGAACGGUAACAGGUCUUCGGAUGCUGACGAGUGGCGAACGGGCGAGUAAUACAUCGGAACGUGCCCGAUCGUGGGGGAUAACGCAGCGAAAGCUGUGCUAAUACCGCAUACGAUCUACGGAUGAAAGCGGGGGAUCGCAAGACCUCGCGCGGACGGAGCGGCCGAUGGCAGAUUAGGUAGUUGGUGGGAUAAAAGCUUACCAAGCCGACGAUCUGUAGCUGGUCUGAGAGGACGACCAGCCACACUGGGACUGAGACACGGCCCAGACUCCUACGGAGGCAGCAGUGGGGAAUUUUGGACAAUGGGCGCAAGCCUGAUCCAGCCAUGCGCGUGCAGGAUGAAGGCCUCGGUUGUAAACUGCUUUGUUACGAACGAAAAGACUACUCUCUAAUACAGGGGUGAAGUGACGUACCGUAAGAAUAAGACACCGGCUAACUACGUGCCGAG
RNAcentral lists this ribosomal RNA (483 nucleotides) under uncultured bacterium. RNAcentral's name for it is "bacterial SSU rRNA". It matches the Rfam family "Bacterial small subunit ribosomal RNA", at positions 30 to 512 of the family's 1533-position model. The record is from RNAcentral.